Molecule: long non-coding RNA, 316 nt
Organism: Melitaea cinxia (Glanville fritillary)
Lineage: Eukaryota; Metazoa; Arthropoda; Insecta; Lepidoptera; Nymphalidae
Exons: 3
Source: RefSeq, a predicted model, not a curated record
AACGUGACUCGAGCUUAAUGAAUAAUAUACAGGGUGUCCCAGAAAGAAUGGAUAACCCUGAAGCGCCUAAUAGUACGGCUAUCAAGCGCUCUAAUAAAAAUACACAAAACAAAAAAUUCCAAGUGGUGCCAAAAAUAUGAGGUUUUUAAAAAAAAAAUACAUAUUUAUUGACCUUACUCUACUUUCAUGUACACCACGGCCGCAAAUUAAUGAAAUUUGUUGUGUUUUUGGUGUUAUCUUUUUCCUCAUAGACUAUACUAUUAGAAAUGCAGUAAAGAGUAUGAGUAUCUAUUGUACUUUUUCGGAAAAAAAAAUA